Non-coding RNA from Anas platyrhynchos (mallard), 2125 nucleotides. Lineage: Eukaryota; Metazoa; Chordata; Aves; Anseriformes; Anatidae. The record is from RefSeq and is a predicted model, not a curated record.
UCAAGAAGUAUGUAUUAUCUCACUACACCUCUGUCAUAAUAUGUCAGCAUAUCUAGAUGUCUGUUUUCUAUGAAAUUUGUAAUCAGAGAUGGAUAUCAUCACUUUCAAUACUCUGCUAAUUGACCAAACUCUGCAUGGAAAAACUGCAGUUGGACAAACAUAGAUAUACCCAGGAUCUAGCUUUAAUGUUAGGUAAAUGAUUUGAUCUUUAGAAUGGUGUCCCAGGGAUGUACAUGUUGCUUUUAGCUACAGGCAACAACAGAAGGCAUAAGUGUUGCUUAGUUCCGUCUCCCCCCAGCGUAUCCUCUGUGUCUUGCUGUAAGAACAGGUGAACUUGAUGUUUGUGGACGGUACCAGCUGAAAUGCUGGGUUCACCUCCCUGUGGAGAAAACUGCUUGCUGAAUCUCCAGUGCAUUGCAAACAAAAUUAAACUUCUUGUAAAAGAAGAGAUAAGGCUGCUUACCCCAAACUGGAGCUUGCGAAACUGAUAAUUAAAAGAAGCCAGCUCAGUAGAAUUUCAGACAUGGCAAUGGAAUCUGCUCUAAUCAGUUCAGUCCCUACCACUGCAUCUCGUUUUGCCUUACUACAACUGGAAAGUGAUACUGAUUCAGAGCCUGGAAAAGGCAGAAGUGGCCGACGUGCUGGUAAAUCUCUAGCUUCAGAGUGUAGAUCUACAAAUGUGAAGAAAAGAGAGAAAAGAAGAAAAAAGAGAGAACAGCAGCAGAGUGAGGCCAAUGAUGUAAAGGGAUUGUAUUUUCAACAGUGAGUAAGGUUGUUGUCUCAUCAAGAGUUUUUGCUGUCCCUGAAAAGUCAUUGGUUUUGGUUUUCCCUGUGAAAGAAGAACUACUUAAUCGCAGAUUACAUCUUUACAUUGUCCUGUCUUAUGUUUCUGAGAAGUACUUGCAUGCUUUAGGGAACUGAAGCUGGAAAUACACCCUUUUGUUUCAGUCAUUUCACAGCUUAGCUUUCUAAAUGUCUCUUUGUUUAUCAAGUCUUUAGGGUGGAGUAAGCUCUGUGCACUUACAAAUUGCUAAAGCAGUGUUCCAUGUCAUGAAUGGGACCGACUCGGUCUUAUCUGUUGUUUUUCAUAUACAAAUCUGACAGAAUCCGUUCGCGUUUUGCUCCUUGAGCUCUGUCGGCAUUGUGUCUACAGAUGUGUCUGUGUGUGGACGUGUGCCUGGGCACUCCCGGCGGCUGCUGGGCCAGCAGCUGCGAGCAGUUGUGAGCGUGGCUCGCCUACUUGGAGACCGCUUGUGUUUGAGGGAAAACUCAGCCUUUACCGCUGAGCUCCACCGGAGCCGUGAGGAGACGCUCUCCUCCAUGACGAGCGCGGCGAUGGAAGCCGCAUUUCGCACCCCUGCUUUGACCACAAGCAGACGGCCCCCUCCACCCUCCCCAGGACUCGAGGGCGAGCUGUGCGCGUCCCUGGGGGCCGGGGGCUGCCCCCCGGUGUCCCCUCACACCCACCCCUCAACCCCCGCUCCGCCCGCGCCCUCCUGCCGCGGGGGGCCGCUGUGCGCGGCGGGGCGGCGCCGCCGAAGGUUGCGGCCGUUGCCUAGCGAGGCGCUGUCACCAGCAGCGCGGGCGGCCCAGGCGCGGCCCGCCGGCCCCUCAGCCCGCCCGGAGGCUGCCUCCCGCCGCCCGGAGCAGGUUUGGAGCGGGGAGCGACGGGGCCGGGGCUGGGGCUGGGGGGAGCCGCCCCACAGCGCCGCUGAGCCGGCAUUUUGCUUGGUGUUUGUUUGAGGAAGUAGGAAAUGGGAUCUCUCCCCUCCUCCGCCCCUCCCCUCCCGCGACUGGUUUGGGUGUCAUUUUGGGAGGGGGGGGGAGUCAGUAAGUUUUCAGUAUGUGCUCGUGAUUGCCGUGCCCUUUCUGAAAUGAGCAGGAUUUCAGGCUCUUGCAAAGCCUCCUUGACUGAGAAUCAGCAAGAGAAGAGCAGAAGAUGUGUUUGGGAUCCGGCAGCAUUUGAUACCCAUCGAGGCUUUGGAGUGUUUCUGGUAGACAUUUGUAAAGAAAUCCUAUUCGAUGCUUCUUCUUGUGCUUCAGAAUUAAUCCGUGGGGGGCAGUAUAAGGAGCCAUGGUUGCUGAAAUAUAUAACUAAUAAAAAAUAGUUCCAUAUGGGCAUAAA